GCCUGGAUGGCUCAGUUGGUUGAGCGUCUGACUUUGGCUCAGGUCAUGAUCUUGUCGUCUGUGGGUUCCAGCCCUGUGUCAGGCU
This 85-nucleotide transfer RNA is filed under the name Felis catus (domestic cat). It matches the Rfam family "tRNA". Rfam says of the family: Transfer RNA (tRNA) molecules are approximately 80 nucleotides in length. Their secondary structure includes four short double-helical elements and three loops (D, anti-codon, and T loops). Further hydrogen bonds mediate the characteristic L-shaped molecular structure. tRNAs have two regions of fundamental functional importance: the anti-codon, which is responsible for specific mRNA codon recognition, and the 3' end, to which the tRNAs corresponding amino acid is attached (by aminoacyl-tRNA synthetases). tRNAs cope with the degeneracy of the genetic code in two manners: having more than one tRNA (with a specific anti-codon) for a particular amino acid; and 'wobble' base-pairing, i.e. permitting non-standard base-pairing at the 3rd anti-codon position. The record is from Rfam by way of RNAcentral. Lineage: Eukaryota; Metazoa; Chordata; Mammalia; Carnivora; Felidae.